CCAUACGACCGUACCGCAAACCGACACUGGUGCGCGAGAUGAGUAUUCUAAGGCGCUUGAGAGAACUCAGGAGAAGGAACUCGGCAAAUUGACACCGUAACUUCGGAAGAAGGUGUGCCCUAUUAGUGUGUAGUGAACAACGAAGCAUGAAUGGGUUGCAAAAAAUCGGUGGCUGCGACUGUUUAUUAAAAACACAGCACUCUGCAAACACGAAAGUGGACGUAUAGGGUGUGACGCCUGCCCGGUGCUGGAAGAUUAAAUGAUGGGGUGCAAGCUCUUGAUUGAAGUCCCAGUAAACGGCGGCCGUAACGAUAACGGUCCUAAGGUAGCGAAAUUCCUUGUCGGGUAAGUUCCGACCUGCACGAAUGGCGUAACGAUGGCCACACUGUCUCCUCCUGAGACUCAGCGAAGUUGAAAUGUUUGUGAUGAUGCAAUCUCCCCGCGGAAAGACGGAAAGACCCCAUGAACCUUUACUGUAGCUUUGUAUUGGACUUUGAACAGAUCUGUGUAGGAUAGGUGGGAGGCUUUGAAGCAGGGUCGCUAGAUCUUGUGGAGCCAACGUUGAAAUACCACCCUGGUGUGUUUGAGGUUCUAACCUAGGUCCAUUAUCUGGAUCGGGGACAGUGCAUGGUAGGCAGUUUGACUGGGGCGGUCUCCUCCCAAAGCGUAACGGAGGAGUUCGAAGGUACGCUAGUUACGGUCGGACAUCGUGACGAUAGUGCAAUGGCAUAAGCGUGCUUAACUGCGAGACUGACAAGUCGAGCAGAUGCGAAAGCAGGACAUAGUGAUCCGGUGGUUCUGUAUGGAAGGGCCAUCGCUCAACGGAUAAAAGGUACUCUGGGGAUAACAGGCUGAUACCGCCCAAGAGUUCAUAUCGACGGCGGUGUUUGGCACCUCGAUGUCGGCUCAUCUCAUCCUGGGGCUGUAGCCGGUCCCAAGGGUAUGGCUGUUCGCCAUUUAAAGAGGUACGUGAGCUGGGUUUAAAACGUCGUGAGACAGUUUGGUCCCUAUCUUCCGUGGGCGCUGCAGAUUUGAGGAAGCCUGCUCCUAGUACGAGAGGACCGGAGUGGACACACCUCUGGUGUAUCGGUUGUCACGCCAGUGGCAUUGCCGAGUAGCUAAGUGUGGAAGAGAUAACCGCUGAAAGCAUCUAAGCGGGAAACUCGUUUCAAGAUGAGAUCUGCCGGGGCCUUGAGCCCCCUAAAGAGUCGUUCAAGACCAGGACGUUGAUAGGUCAGGUGUGGAAGCCA
This 1250-nucleotide ribosomal RNA is filed under the name metagenome. Its description in RNAcentral is "bacterial LSU rRNA". It matches the Rfam family "Bacterial large subunit ribosomal RNA", at positions 1634 to 2876 of the family's 2925-position model. The record is from RNAcentral.